AGCAUGCUUGUGCAGACACUUGUUAUGAGCUGCUUGACUGAGCAAGGCUGUUCCGGAUAUAAGAUAUGGUGUACUUCUGAGGAAAACUCUUUCAAAACUGGCGAGAUUACCUAGGACGCCUGUUAAGGGAUUCAUAUUUCCAGUUUUGUGAAGAAUGAAGAUUUGUUUGGCAUCUCUGGCUUCAAAGUACUGUGUUAAGUUUUGUACUCCAGCUGUGAAGAUUUGGCCUUGAACUUUUUCACUUGUAAUUUGUAUAUUCUUCCCAGUCUGUUUGUACUGACAUUCUAGUCUGCUGCAAUUUUUGUGACUCUUUGUCAUUAUAUCUUGGUUUGUAAACCUGGCAAAUAUUUGUAGCAUGCUUUCAUGUUUAUUCACUAGUAUUUAUAUGCAUAUAUAUUUACCUUGUUCGAGGUUUUUUCACGGA
This is a long non-coding RNA of Hemicordylus capensis (graceful crag lizard), 424 nucleotides long. RefSeq lists it as uncharacterized. The record is from RefSeq and is a predicted model, not a curated record. The transcript has 2 exons. Lineage: Eukaryota; Metazoa; Chordata; Lepidosauria; Squamata; Cordylidae.